Long non-coding RNA from Xiphophorus couchianus (Monterrey platyfish), 3416 nucleotides. RefSeq lists it as uncharacterized. NCBI's taxonomy places the organism in Eukaryota, Metazoa, Chordata, Actinopteri, Cyprinodontiformes, Poeciliidae. The record is from RefSeq and is a predicted model, not a curated record. The transcript has 2 exons.
ACAAAAUGUCAUAAACAACAAAUAAAAUUAAUUAUGAACAAGAUUGUCCUUCGAAAAAGGGAUAGUUGAAACCAAAGCAUCAGACUGAAGACUUUUCUCAUCCAAUUUUGGUAAAAAGAAAAAAAAAGAUAAAUCAUGCAACUGGAAAUUAUUUAUCUUGUUUUAAUUUAUCUUAGAUUAAUUAAUUUAUUGCUUAUUUCCACAGGUUUAUGGAUGAGUAGUAAAAAAAUGACACCACAAACUGAAGUGACGUCUGGACUUUGAGACACAGUUAGGUUUUUUUUAUCUAAACUUUAAUAGUUUUUGUAUUUACCAUAUUUGACAUUUAUAAAAUCUGUUCUAACAGAGGAAUAUUCACAUCAUCGUAACACUUAUAUACAACAUGUAUGCUCUCUGUGCUCCCUCUCUGGGAUGGUCCAUUUCCAUUUCUGUCAGAAACAAGAUGAAAUUUCUCCCACUGAAAUCCAGACAGAAGCUUGCAUCACCGCCAUCUUACACGCUUUUUUCCCUUCAGGCUUCAGCUUAGAAAUAUUUGGUUGACAAAAAAAGAAAAGAAAAAACCAGAUAUUUCAAACUGUGGCCGGUUGGAAUAUGUGGGUUUUACUUAUAAUGUACUAAGCAAAUACAAGCGCGAUGCCAUGGAGAAAAGAUCCAAAAAAUGAAGGACAGGAUCUCUGAUGAAGAGUUUGAGGAAUCCCAGAAAUGAGAGCAGCAUGUUGGGAAGCAGCAAAGGUGUCUUUUUGUCACACACACAGAGUUAUAGAGUAAAAAAAGUACUUUUUUUUUCAGGUAUCUGUACUUUACAUUGAGUAUUUUUUACUUUUACUCACUAUCUGCACUUUCUACUCCUUAUAUUUUCCAUGAUGAAAAAGAUAAAGAGGGAAAAAACUCACCUCUAACACAAAAAGUGCCAGUAAUUCAGCAUACAGUUGGAUCCAACCCAAGCAAAGCAGAAGAAGAAAAACAAAAUGGAGGCUUUAACCUGAGUGAAAACUCAAACAACAGGAACACAUUCAGAGACGCAAGACAUUCCCCAUCUGUAGCCUUGUUUAAAAAAUCCUUCAUCAAUUAAAUCAAUUAAAUAUUAGUGACAAAUUCGCUGUGGUUUGUGCAAAAUAAAUGGUCCUGAUGGAGAUUUGGUUUGAAGAAAAACUAGAACGUAUAUGUAUUUUUUUUAUUUAUUUCUGUGCUAACAGUGCAUGUUGUGAGCAAAAGUAAAAAAAUGUAUGGCUAGUAUUUUGUAUGACUACAACAUUUUUACUAUUUUAGACUUAUUGAAAGUCACUCUUAGUUUUGGUACUUAAGUAAGUUUCAAAACUUCAACCUGUGCUUUUACUAGAGCACAUGUGUCAAACUCAAAGCUGCCUCAACCUUAAUUGAUGUCAGAUUAUAAUCCAUGAUCUAUACAGCAAGUAAUAAAAAGUCACAUUUACCAACAUAAGCACAAAUAUAGAAAUACACCCAAAUUAGCCCCACAAACAAUAAUGAAAUUCUAGAGGGACUGAAAAGAUGUUAAAUAUUAUUAUUUAAUUUUAAGAAUUUGUUGAUAUUUUUACAGUUUGUGAACGGGUUUUAUCAAUACAUUGAUAAAAUGUAUUAUCUUCAUUUGGUCCAAAACGAAAAUGAGUUUGACAUCACUUUACUAGAGUAUUUUUUCAUAUAAUCUCUGUUUAUAACUUUAACUUGAAAGAGAUUCCAGAAACAAAAUCACUGAGGAUUUGUUUUAGUACGAAGAUUGUUUUUUUGUUUUUUUUUAGCAUGCGUAACAGAGCUUUAUCUUAACAUUAUAAAUGUGAAGUUUGUCAGAAUUUAUUUAUUCUUUUAAUCUAUUUUAUUUAGUCAAGAAGUUGUUUCUCCUGAUAUUUAUUGGCGAAUAUAAAAGUUCUGUUGCUCUUGGCAGUUGGUGGUUACCAUAGCAACCAGUAACUGACAGCUCCGCCCCCUUUUUUCCCCGUUGCCAUCAGUAACUGUGGUAUUUAUCUGUGUUUUCUUUACAAGUGUUAGCUUUUAACAUAUAUUUUAGACAAAUGCGAUCAUAUGCAGUGUUUUGUGACUUACUUUGCUAGCUUGUGUAAAUGUUUUUAACUGAUAUUGUUAUUAAUAUUGUGCAUUUUAGCUAUGUUUAAUUUUACAACUACUGCUAACUAAUGCUAACUGCUAACUGUGACUUAUUGUUUUGUAGUUUGUUUAGAGUUAUUUAUUAUAUUUCAUGUAUAGGGGCAGAAGCUUCUGGACUGAUGUUAACCACCAACUUGAUAUCCUCUGUUAGAAUAAAUACAGAGAACCUGAAUGUGCCUGUUGUGAAGUGGACCCACUGGACCUGAGACGAACACAGAUGAUGGGUUAAACAUGAACUCCAAAAAAGUGCAUGUAGGUAAUCAUCCAGGUCUGUAUUCAGCUCAGCACACCAGCUCCUGUGUGACUUCUCAGAGGAUGGCUACAAUUAUUGAUGACAGAGGAGAAGAUUGCUAUGCAUGGCCUGUACAGGAUGCCAUCAGAGACGGUGAUUGGGAACCUUUUGAAAAUGUCAAAGUGACACAUGAUUAUGAAUAUUAAACAUCCAUGUAUGGAGCAUGAUUACUUGAAAGGGGGAGGGAAAUCAACAGUCGGAGGCUGGGAUCUCAUUCCGAGCCGCGUUGAAAUAUGGCAGAACAGCGGCGACUGAAUAUAUCAAAUAGAUUAACAAAAGCGUCAUUUGUUAACGCCGAAGGGCUUAUAUCAUCAUUUUUAAUUAUUUUUAAAAUUUUUUAUUUAUGUUCAGGCUUGUAACUCACAAUAUUUCUAAGAACAGACCCAAACGUUGCCAAAAAUUGUUGCCAUAACAUUUGGAGUGCUUAAUUCAGACAUCAGGGCUUAAUGCUAAAGCGGUGAUAAUAAGGCUGAUGCUCACAAAGUAAAAAUAUUUAUAUGCCAAUUUAUCUAAUGAGGAAGAGAGUCUAGCAAACCGGCACCUUGUAAGGAGUUUAAAAGCUUUCUCUUAUGAUCCUAGUCAAUGGAACAGAUGCUGUAGUUUAAAAUGUAACAAUUCUGACACAAUUUUAAUGAAUAAAAUUUGUGCUCUGGUUCUGACCAGCAUUAUUACUUUGGUCUGAACACAUGUACAGAUCAAAGUAAUAAUGUAAUAAAUACAUUUCAACAACUUUGGGAUAUUAAAAAAUUGUUUUACAGGUUUUAAAGUGAAGAAAUGAAGCCAAUUUUGUGGAACUUGAAAUUCUGUCAAGUCUCUAAAGUUUGUGUCAUUUCUGGUGAGGAUAGGUAUUCUUUUUUCUUGUAUUCAUUGUACAGAGUUUUUUUUUUAAGUGUGGAGGACCAAUCCUGACAUAAUUAAGAAUGAAUGAAAAAUAAAUGACUAAUUAAAAUAACUACAGUACCAAAAAGCAACUUGACAAAUAAGCAUGCCAUAAAAUAUAACAAGA